AUCGAGAGAAGAGAAAUCGAGAGAAGAGAGAGUGUAGCGGAGGUUGGAAGAAGCCAGACUAAAGAGCCACCAAGGACUUUGAUAGUUGUUCUUUCAUAAAUUUUAACUAAGGGCUUUGAUUUCAGUUUGUUUCUUUAGUCAUGGAUUGCAACUCUAUGAAGAGAAAUUGCAGGAGAAGAACGAUUGGAGUCUGGUUUGGUGAGGGAACAACCAUGGUGGGAGACAAGCCGCCACGAACAGUCACAACGACCAUCAUGGGAGCGAGAAUAACAAGAAUGGGUUCAAUAUCAUCCUCGCCAAUAUGAUGGUAAGUGUUGAUGGAAAGUUGAUGGUAUGUUCACGCCCCAUGUUUUCGACUACGCGGCAACGUACGGGUUUCCCACUAUAUAUUAAUACAACUUAAGGUGCUAACACUACUUUGGGGGAUAAAUUAUCUAUUAACUUCUCAUAAAAUAUAUUGUUGAAGGGUUGUUGAAGGUAUGCACCUAUUACUUCAUCUCAUUUUUAUAUUAUAAUAUAAUAUAAUAUAAUUUGUGGUUGAUUUAAUGUUGUUUUUGUUUUUACGCUGAAUGGUUCUAUUUGUCGUCUUGGCUUUGACCCAUUUUUUAUAAAACUAAGUUACGUAUAUAACUCAUUUGACAUGGUUAAUUUUUUUUAAUAAAUAUGGAUAUUAGCUUAGGUGAAACAAAUGGUUCUAUCCAUUUUUUGCCAUAUAAAAGUGUUCAUUUUCAGUUUCUUAUCUUCCUAAUAAGUGUGUUUUUUAUUCUUCAAUGAACGAGGUUGCAAUACUAGAAUAUAUACAUCUGUUAGUUGAAACUAUAGACCGUCAUUUUGGCAGUGUGGUAAGUCUUACAACAUGUAAACAUCAUAGAACUAGAGGUUGCAAUAUCUAUUAGUUAACUUAUGAAUGACUUGAUCCAGGUCGCGUUUUAUCUCAACAGGUCAAAUAAAAAAUCAACUAAAAGGAAAAACAGGUCAAAUGGGUUGACAUGUAACAUAUUAGCGGAACCACCACUUUUCUUUUGAUUCUAUUGGAUGUUUUGUUUCAACCUGAUGAAGUAGAAAGGCCUAAAGUUGUUUUGGACAUCUUCAUGGGACCCUCAAAAACCAAUGUCCUCCGGUGGAGAAACCAAUCAAGACAAGCUUGAAGCCACAAAGAAGAAGCUUCAAGAACUUCUGUUGACGACAGGUAACUCCGACUCAAGGUUACCGAUUACAAAAUCCUGCUCAUAAACAGUGAUGCGGUGACAAUAUCUGGUGGAAAUGCACAUUUAUCCAUGGAUCAGGAGUGGGUGCUGUUAGAAGGGUUGCUGGAGCUGAUUUUAGGAAUGCAAAGCUGAGAGGAGUCAUUCAUUCCUCAUGGUGAUCAAAAGAGAGACAAGGAAUUUUUUUUGUUAGAGGUUGUCUUGCAUUUAUACGGUGGAAAUAAAAGCCACAUGAGCCGGUAGGAGCGUUUUUUAGCUUCUUGAUUGUGUUUUUUUAAUGCUAGAAGCAUAAAAGAAAUGUCCUUUGGGGUUAGUUUUGUAAUUUAUGAUGUCAUUAGUCUUAUACUCAAAAGGAAGAGUAGGCUAUUUAAGCUACUUUUCUUAUAAUAUUUAUUAGAAGGUAACACUUACAAUAAAAAUUAAGGGAAGAAU
RNAcentral lists this long non-coding RNA (1637 nucleotides) under Helianthus annuus (common sunflower). RNAcentral's name for it is "hypothetical non coding rna". The record is from RNAcentral. Lineage: Eukaryota; Viridiplantae; Streptophyta; Magnoliopsida; Asterales; Asteraceae.